GGGCUGGGUUCAACUCCGCUGAUGGUAGAACACACAACAGUUGUGUAGCAUCAUCAACACAAAGAAAGGGGUCAUAGAAGUUCUUCAGAGCAUCUUCGAGGGCAUGCAGUGCCAAGUCAGCAUUGGUCUUCUCACAGUUGUAUCCCAUCAAACCAAUCCUCAUCACCUAAUAAAAAGACAGGAAUGAAGAGUUUGAGACCUAAGUCCUCCAGUCCUCUGUAAAGUCCCGCCCUUAUAAGAUACGAGGAAAGGAUGCCAGGAGAAAAUGUGAAGAGAGAGGAAUCGAGGGAACAUGUUUUAAAGACAUAAGAUAUCCUUUUCUCUGUUCCUUCAUUUGAAGCAUCCAAUCACCUACUAAUGUCCU
Molecule: long non-coding RNA, 364 nt
Organism: Monopterus albus (swamp eel)
Lineage: Eukaryota; Metazoa; Chordata; Actinopteri; Synbranchiformes; Synbranchidae
Exons: 4
Source: RefSeq, a predicted model, not a curated record